RNAcentral lists this ribosomal RNA (253 nucleotides) under uncultured bacterium. Its description in RNAcentral is "partial 16S ribosomal RNA". It matches the Rfam family "Bacterial small subunit ribosomal RNA", at positions 524 to 776 of the family's 1533-position model. The record is from RNAcentral.
UACGGAGGGAGCUAGCGUUAUUCGGAAUUACUGGGCGUAAAGCGCGCGUAGGCGGCUUUGUAAGUAAGAGGUGAAAGCCUGGUGCUCAACACCAGAACUGCCUUUUAGACUGCAUCGCUUGAAUCCAGGAGAGGUGAGUGGAAUUCCGAGUGUAGAGGUGAAAUUCGUAGAUAUUCGGAAGAACACCAGUGGCGAAGGCGGCUCACUGGCCCGGUACUGACGCUGAGGUGCGAAAGCGUGGGGAGCAAACAGG